AUUGAACGCUGGCGGCAUGCUUUACACAUGCAAGUCGAACGGCAGCACGGGCUUCGGCCUGGUGGCGAGUGGCGAACGGGUGAGUAAUAUAUCGGAACGUACCCAGAAGUGGGGGAUAACGUAGCGAAAGUUACGCUAAUACCGCAUACGAUCUAUGGAUGAAAGCAGGGGACCGCAAGGCCUUGUGCUCCUGGAGCGGCCGAUAUCUGAUUAGCUAGUUGGUGAGGUAAAGGCUCACCAAGGCGACGAUCAGUAGCUGGUCUGAGAGGACGACCAGCCACACUGGAACUGAGACACGGUCCAGACUCCUACGGGAGGCAGCAGUGGGGAAUUUUGGACAAUGGGCGCAAGCCUGAUACAGCAAUGCCGCGUGAGUGAAGAAGGCCUUCGGGUUGUAAAGCUCUUUUGUCAGGGAAGAAACGGUAGAGGCUAAUAUCCUGUGCUAAUGACGGUACCUGAAGAAUAAGCACCGGCUAACUACGUG
Molecule: ribosomal RNA, 484 nt
Filed under: uncultured bacterium
Lineage: Bacteria
Description: partial 16S ribosomal RNA
Rfam family: Bacterial small subunit ribosomal RNA
Source: RNAcentral